CCUACGGGGGGCUGCAGUCGAGAAUCUUUCACAAUGGGGGCAACCCUGAUGGAGCGACGCCGCGUGGAGGAUAAGGUCUUCGGAUUGUAAACUCCUGUCAUGCGAGAACAAGGUUGCAGGGCUAACACCUUUGCAAAUUGAUGGUACCGCAAGAGGAAGAGACGGCUAACUCUGUGCCAGCAGCCGCGGUAAUACAGAGGUGUCAAGCGGGGUUCGGAAGCACUGGGAGGAGAGGUUGCGUGUGAGGCGUGAAAGCCCGGGGCUCAACCUCGGAAUUGCAUCCGAUACUGCCAUGCUGGAGUACUGAAGAGGUGACUAGAAUUCUAGGUGUAGCAGUGAAAUGCGUAGAUAUCUAGAGGAAUACCAACGGCGAAGGCAGGUCACUGGGCAGUUACUGACACUGAGGCACGAAGGCCAGGGGAGCAAACGGGAUUAGAUACCCCAGUAGUC
RNAcentral lists this ribosomal RNA (450 nucleotides) under uncultured bacterium. RNAcentral describes it as "partial 16S ribosomal RNA". It matches the Rfam family "Bacterial small subunit ribosomal RNA", at positions 338 to 795 of the family's 1533-position model. The record is from RNAcentral.